This 62-nucleotide ribosomal RNA is filed under the name uncultured bacterium. Its description in RNAcentral is "partial 16S ribosomal RNA". The record is from RNAcentral.
AGACUAAACCCGCUAAGGGGAGGCAUAGGGUGUAACGGUAUUGGUAAUCCAUGAUUGGGGUG